UACGUAGGUCGCAAGCGUUGUCCGGAUUUACUGGGCGUAAAGAGCGCGCAGGCGGCUGGUCAAGUCCGAUGUGAAAUCUCCCGGCUCAACUGGGGAACUGCGUCUGAUACUGGAUGGCUUGGAUUCGGGAGAGGAAUGCGGAAUUCCAGGUGUAGCGGUGAAAUGCGUAGAUAUCUGGAGGAACACCGGUGGCGAAGGCGGCAUUCUGGACCGACAUUGACGCUGAGGAGCGAAAGCCAGGGGAGCAAACGGG
This 253-nucleotide ribosomal RNA is filed under the name uncultured bacterium. Its description in RNAcentral is "partial 16S ribosomal RNA". It matches the Rfam family "Bacterial small subunit ribosomal RNA", at positions 524 to 776 of the family's 1533-position model. The record is from RNAcentral.